UCUAUACUAAGUACGUGCUACUGCAGAUGAAUGCUUCUAACAGUCACUUUGAGAAAAGAGUAGCCUGACCUUGGAAAAAGGCUCUAAUCUAGUGUCUUCAUAGAGAUGAGGAAGCAGCUUUGACAAGUGGAAGUUAAGCCCUGGAUGGUCCCGGACUAUCUAGCCAUUGCUUAAUCUUCUUAAUAUGAAUUCAGGACUCAAGAAAAGAGGUAGCAGUUGAGGGGGCCAGAGACAGCUAUGAGCCAUACAGGGCCGUCUGAUAGAGCCACAUUUUGCAACAGCUGUUUAGGAGUGAGAAGGUAAUCUGCUGAAGACAAGUUUGUUGAUUAUUUUAGCCCAUGCAAUAUGCACAGCAUAGAACUGCUUUUAUUUGCUUUGCAAGUUGAACGUUUCAAAUCAGUAUGAAAUGUAAACUUUGGACUUUCAUUUCCAGCUGUUCAGGCAAAAAUUCAUGUUUGUUGUCC
RNAcentral lists this long non-coding RNA (464 nucleotides) under Coturnix japonica (Japanese quail). RNAcentral describes it as "lncRNA (ENSCJPG00005020955.1)". Lineage: Eukaryota; Metazoa; Chordata; Aves; Galliformes; Phasianidae. The record is from RNAcentral.